GACGAACGCUGGCGGCGUGCUUAACACAUGCAAGUCGAACGGAAAGGCCCUGCUUUUGUGGGGUGCUCGAGUGGCGAACGGGUGAGUAACACGUGAGUAACCUGCCCUUGACUUUGGGAUAACUAGGAAACUGGGGCUAAUACCGGAUAGGAGCUCCUGCUGCAUGGUGGGGGUUGGAAAGUUUCGGCGGUUGGGGAUGGACUCGCGGCUUAUCAGCUUGUUGGUGGGGUAGUGGCUUACCAAGGCUUUGACGGGUAGCCGGCCUGAGAGGGUGACCGGCCACAUUGGGACUGAGAUACGGCCCAGACUCCUACGGGAGGCAGCAGUGGGGAAUAUUGCACAAUGGGCGGAAGCCUGAUGCAGCAACGCCGCGUGCGGGAUGACGGCCUUCGGGUUGUAAACCGCUUUCGCCUGUGACGAAGCGUGAGUGACGGUAAUGGGUAAAGAAGCACCGGCUAACUACGUG
RNAcentral lists this ribosomal RNA (466 nucleotides) under uncultured bacterium. RNAcentral describes it as "partial 16S ribosomal RNA". It matches the Rfam family "Bacterial small subunit ribosomal RNA", at positions 28 to 507 of the family's 1533-position model. The record is from RNAcentral.